Long non-coding RNA from Papaver somniferum (opium poppy), 730 nucleotides. RefSeq lists it as uncharacterized. The record is from RefSeq and is a predicted model, not a curated record. The transcript is spliced from 3 exons. NCBI's taxonomy places the organism in Eukaryota, Viridiplantae, Streptophyta, Magnoliopsida, Ranunculales, Papaveraceae.
GGUUGCGUCCACAUAGCUGCUUGGUUAGUAUGCCCUGUGACUGUGAGGAUAAGUUUGAAAAGAAAAAGGAUAUGAUUAAACUACUGAACUUAUCUUCUGCUGCUAUGUUCCUUGUCUCAACACCUGUGGUUUAGAAAGUAAGAAAACUAGGCGAGAAGAGGAAAUAAAAUCUGAAGGAGUGAAUUUUAUAUUGAGUUCCUGAUUUUGAUCUGUGAGGAAGGAAAGUUAUGGUCUUGAACAGAUCAAUUAGUUGAAUUCCGUGGGAAAUUGAAGAGUAAUCGAAAGGGGGGUUUCUCUGUGUGUUCUUGAUUGAAGGUUAACGGUGUAUUGGAUUCAAUAGAAGAUCUUCAAAGCUUAAGGUUUGACUAGCGGUUUGAGUGGCAGGUAACCUUGUUGUAAGAGGUGUUGACUCGGGCGAAGAAGAGAUUAGCGUGUGGGUCGAGUGAAGGGUCUCGUUUUUUUUUUUUGUAUAGGGAGGUCACUGCCGAUAUCUUUUUGUGGGCAGUUCUGUGUUUGUUGUCUUGAAGGUGAUGUGUUUAACUUAUCACAAACACACUGUUUCUAAAUGUUUAGUAAAGCUAUAUAUUUAAAUUAUGUUAAAGGGCUCAUGCCCCAUGGAUGUGCGGUCCAAAACGGAAGCCUUUUGGUCUUCCCUUUCACAUGUAUAUAAGGAUAAUAUUCCAUGUAACCCUAUUAUUCUGAUCAAUGAAAAUUCCUCUCUGCCUCUUUA